CUUGCAUGGCUAUUUCUUUUUUGGUGAUUGACCAUAUAUCAUUAUCUAGGACUAAUAUGUAAUUGAAAGACUUGUAUGAAAACCUUUGUAUUGUCAAUAUUAUGUGGAAUGGUUACGAACUCCCCUUGUGGAGGCAUCAAACAUAUAUCCACAAUAAUCACUGGACUAUCUAUUACGUUCACGCUAUUUGUCUUCUAAGUUCGAGUUGUAUAUUUCGCAUGAAAGAAUGAUUGAUCUUCUUUUAACAAAUCAGCUGGUGAAUCACGCAUUGCACAGUUCUCAAAGUACUCCAAACACAGUCAUUCUCCGCCUGCACUGCUCUCGAAGUGGCCAUUGCAUAAUCCAAAUGGUAGAUACGCGUGAAGGAAGGCAAAUCCUUCUACACAUGAAAGAUACAACCUGAAACUUUGUAUGAUAUGUUUUUAAUAUUUAAAGAUGGAAAGUUCAUUGGUGCACUUGAAGGUGUAAAAUAUUAGAAGAAAUAGAUUGCUUCAUAAUUGAUAGAGUCUUUGUCUGGAGAGACCCAAAGCAU
This 532-nucleotide long non-coding RNA is filed under the name Phoenix dactylifera (date palm). RNAcentral describes it as "long non-coding RNA (PDAC_LNC004609)". The record is from RNAcentral. Lineage: Eukaryota; Viridiplantae; Streptophyta; Magnoliopsida; Arecales; Arecaceae.